UGCAGAGCAAGCCUCUGUGAUUCCUGCCCAGCACCUGUGAGGCCUGACGUGUCAGUUCCCAAUAAAUGCUCUUCUGAUUUGUUUCCCGUACAGGCAAGGAGGCUUGGGUAGUGCAGAUUUGUGUAUUUCAAUCUUUGAAAGCUCUGAUGUAAUUUAGAAAUGAAAUCCAAUCAUGAGUCCAGGUAGAGAACGCCUGCUGUAAUCUACACUGUUGCUGGGACUGCGCAUUCUGUAUAUAACUGUGUUGGAUGAGUGACAGAUGAUUGUCCAGACUAGGACAGCGGCAUGAACAUGACUUUGGUUGGGAUUGCGGAUAGUUAGGGUUACCUCUGAAUCGUGUAGCUUUUAUGAGAGCAGCUGUGCAAGUGAAUCCACAUUAAUGCCUUGUCGUGGUGCCAUUCCCAGCGCCUGACGAUACGCUCUUCUAUUGUCUUAUUCUGGCAGGUUUUGACGUUUUAAAUUUUUUAAAGAAAUUUUAUUCCUUGGACCAAAAGGUUUGGUUAACCACCCCCCUCUUACUUGCUUUCACAUUUUGAGUGUCCAGAGGAAACAGAAAGGAAUGAGUGUGUGACGUUGCUGCACGCCUGACUCUGUGCGAGCUUCUUUCUGUGUAUAUAU
Molecule: long non-coding RNA, 618 nt
Filed under: Homo sapiens (human)
Lineage: Eukaryota; Metazoa; Chordata; Mammalia; Primates; Hominidae
Description: non-protein coding lnc-GLOD4-2:2
Source: RNAcentral